ACGCUCGACACCUACGGUGGCAGCAGUGGGGAAUAUUGCACAAUGGGGGAAACCCUGAUGCAGCGACGCCGCGUGGAGGAAGAAGGUCUUCGGAUUGUAAACUCCUGUUGUUGGGGAAAAAGAGGAUGGUACCCAACAAGGAAGUGACGGCUAACUACGUGCCAACAGCCGCGGUAAUCUGAGCGGGCUGGCAAGGC
This 197-nucleotide ribosomal RNA is filed under the name uncultured bacterium. RNAcentral describes it as "partial 16S ribosomal RNA". It matches the Rfam family "Bacterial small subunit ribosomal RNA", at positions 328 to 539 of the family's 1533-position model. The record is from RNAcentral.